RNAcentral lists this ribosomal RNA (760 nucleotides) under uncultured Prevotella sp. RNAcentral's name for it is "bacterial SSU rRNA". It matches the Rfam family "Bacterial small subunit ribosomal RNA", at positions 28 to 776 of the family's 1533-position model. The record is from RNAcentral. Lineage: Bacteria; Pseudomonadati; Bacteroidota; Bacteroidia; Bacteroidales; Prevotellaceae.
GAUGAACGCUGGCUACAGGCUUAACACAUGCAAGUCGAGGGGAAACGACGGGGAAGCUUGCUUCCCCGGGCGUCGACCGGCGCACGGGUGAGUAACGCGUAUCCAACCUGCCUCUGACUGAGGGAUAACCCGUCGAAAGUCGGCCUAAUACCUCAUGGUAUCGUCUGCGGGCAUCCAACGACGAUUAAAGAUUUCAUCGGUCAGGGAUGGGGAUGCGUCUGAUUAGCUUGUUGGCGGGGUAACGGCCCACCAAGGCUACGAUCAGUAGGGGUUCUGAGAGGAAGGUCCCCCACGUUGGAACUGAGACACGGUCCAAACUCCUACGGGAGGCAGCAGUGAGGAAUAUUGGUCAAUGGGCGAGAGCCUGAACCAGCCAAGUAGCGUGCAGGAAGACGGCCCUAUGGGUUGUAAACUGCUUUUAUGCGGGGAUAAAGUGAGGGACGUGUCCCUCAUUGCAGGUACCGCAUGAAUAAGGACCGGCUAAUUCCGUGCCAGCAGCCGCGGUAAUACGGAAGGUCCUGGCGUUAUCCGGAUUUAUUGGGUUUAAAGGGAGCGUAGGCCGUGGAUUAAGCGUGUUGUGGAAUGCAGGUGCUCAACGUCUGCACUGCAGCGCGAACUGGUCCACUUGAGUGUGCGCAACGCAGGCGGAAUUCGUCGUGUAGCGGUGAAAUGCUUAGAUAUGACGAAGAACUCCGAUUGCGAAGGCAGCUUGCGGGAGCACAACUGACGCUGAAGCUCGAAAGUGCGGGUAUCGAACAGG